RNAcentral lists this ribosomal RNA (253 nucleotides) under uncultured bacterium. Its description in RNAcentral is "partial 16S ribosomal RNA". It matches the Rfam family "Bacterial small subunit ribosomal RNA", at positions 524 to 776 of the family's 1533-position model. The record is from RNAcentral.
UACGUAGGGGGCAAGCGUUGUCCGGAUUUAUUGGGCGUAAAGAGCGUGUAGGCGGCUUUACAGGUCCGUUGUGAAAACUCGAGGCUCAACCUCGAGCUGUCGGUGGAAACUGUCUGGCUAGAGUCCGGAAGAGGAGAGUGGAAUUCCUGGUGUAGCGGUGAAAUGCGCAGAUAUCAGGAAGAACACCUAUGGCGAAGGCAGCUCUCUGGGACGGUACUGACGCUGAGACGCGAAAGCGUGGGGAGCGAACAGG